AGAUCAUCUACACCUCUGAGCUACUUAGAAUUGGUCCUCAGACCGUUACGGCUAGCACUACAACUGGCACUCAACUUAUCUCUCUUAUUGCAUCUAGACCCAACUAUCCCAACUCUUAUUUCUAUACUUCUUCUAUUUAUUGAUAUUCUAUGACUUGUCUCUGUUGACUUACUACCCUUAUCCUUUUCUCUGCUUCGAGUAUACUCUUGUCUUGGGUAGUAAGAAGAUAAGAAAGAACUCAAAGAUAGUAGCCA
This 254-nucleotide unclassified non-coding RNA is filed under the name Hevea brasiliensis (rubber tree). Lineage: Eukaryota; Viridiplantae; Streptophyta; Magnoliopsida; Malpighiales; Euphorbiaceae. The record is from RNAcentral.